RNAcentral lists this non-coding RNA (71 nucleotides) under Halopseudomonas bauzanensis. Its description in RNAcentral is "Pseudomonas sp. BZ93 Bacterial small subunit ribosomal RNA". It matches the Rfam family "Bacterial small subunit ribosomal RNA", at positions 1 to 71 of the family's 1533-position model. The record is from Rfam by way of RNAcentral. Lineage: Bacteria; Pseudomonadati; Pseudomonadota; Gammaproteobacteria; Pseudomonadales; Pseudomonadaceae.
UAACUGAAGAGUUUGAUCAUGGCUCAGAUUGAACGCUGGCGGCAGGCCUAACACAUGCAAGUCGAGCGGAA